GGGGAUGACUGGUUUCGACUUGGAAUGGUUGUUCCAGGAGAAGCGGGCCGAGGACCCAGGGUCAACUCGUUAACGAUCCUUGGAAACCUAUAAGUGCCGAGAACACUCGCACUGACUUCGCUCUC
This 125-nucleotide transfer-messenger RNA is filed under the name Cutibacterium acnes. Its description in RNAcentral is "partial transfer-messenger RNA". It matches the Rfam family "transfer-messenger RNA", at positions 1 to 119 of the family's 374-position model. From Rfam's summary of the family: Bacterial tmRNA, also known as 10Sa RNA or SsrA, is named for its dual tRNA and mRNA-like properties. Its role is to liberate the mRNA from a stalled ribosome. The record is from RNAcentral. Lineage: Bacteria; Bacillati; Actinomycetota; Actinomycetes; Propionibacteriales; Propionibacteriaceae.